AGUAUUGACUGCCGAAGACAGCAGGUGCCGUAAGGCAUAAAGGUUAUUCCACCUGCCGAGGAACGUACAAUUUCUUUAAUUUUGAAUUUGUAGCGCCUCUCUGUCUUUGAGACAGAGAGGCUUUUUCCUU
Molecule: small RNA, 130 nt
Filed under: human gut metagenome
Description: Ribosomal protein L10 leader
Rfam family: Ribosomal protein L10 leader
About the family: This family is a putative r-protein leader autoregulatory structure found in B. subtilis and other low-GC Gram-positive bacteria. It is located in the 5' untranslated regions of mRNAs encoding ribosomal proteins L10 and L12 (rplJ-rplL). A Rho-independent transcription terminator structure that is probably involved in regulation is included at the 3' end.
Source: RNAcentral